This 392-nucleotide unclassified non-coding RNA is filed under the name Hevea brasiliensis (rubber tree). Lineage: Eukaryota; Viridiplantae; Streptophyta; Magnoliopsida; Malpighiales; Euphorbiaceae. The record is from RNAcentral.
ACUCGCGCUCUAUGUCGUCGCGCCGAAGGGCUUCCUGCCGUUACAGGAUACGGCCUCGAUCACCGCGGUGACGGAAGCCGGCACCGAGGGNNNNNAUGCAGUUGCGGCAGAGCCAGAUCGCCGAUGCCAUCAAGGCCGAUCCCGACAUCGUCGGCGUCGUCUCGGUGAUCGGCGCGGGCUCGGUGAACCCUACCACGAAUGUCGGGCGUCUCGUUUUGACGCUGAAGCCGCGCGGCGAGCGCAAGACCGACAUCGCCGUGGUUGUCGACCGGCUGAAGCAGCGCGUCGCCGCCGUUCCCGGCAUGACGGUCUACUUCCAGGCGGUGCAGGACGUUCAGAUCAGCACGCGGUCGAGCCGGUGGCAGGAUCAGUACACGCUGACCGCCCCCGAC